This is a long non-coding RNA of Gallus gallus (chicken), 1651 nucleotides long. Lineage: Eukaryota; Metazoa; Chordata; Aves; Galliformes; Phasianidae. The record is from Ensembl.
UGAGGUGUUCUGGAGGCCUGUGCACAAGACUAGGCUGUAACUCCUUCCUUAACUUUUGUGACUUUGUGUCCCUCAAAGCAUUUACAAACUAAGGUAAAAAUGACACUCUAUGUGGGAUUUUGCCAGCUUCUUCAAGCAGACAUUUCUUAGCCCAGGAAAAAGUCAACAGGUGAAGGUAAGCACUGCGCUGUUUGGAUUGAUAGUCUCCGAGGAGCCAUUUAACUGCAUGAAAACAUCCCUUGGAAAUGCUAGCAUUGGCAAUAUGCUGUAUUCAGGUAACUUAAUCUUAAUGAUGGGCUCUGCUCAUCUGGGAUCUGCAGUGGUGUAAAUUACUACAAGAGGGCCACUUGAGAAGCUGCACUCAAUGCAUUUUCACUCUACUCACUAUAUAUCAAAGCAAAGCAACGGAAGAUACAAAGAAGAACAUUAUUAGCAUUGACCUAACUGCUUUGAUUAACAGCUGUCAACAGCAAAGCAAUGUGGGCUAAGAUGUUAAAAGACUACCAUCAACCUGGCAGCCCUGGGAGACCACACUCUUCUGAGGAUGCAAAGAAAAGCAGAGGCCCUGACAAGCUGAAAUUUCUUCAGACACAUUUAGGGCAUUCUGAGAGAAGAGACCACUCCCCAAGACCAAUGGGAAGCUAAGAACAUAGAAGGCCCAAAAGGCAUCAUUUAUUCAGGAAGUUCAGGAUAUGUGCUUAUAUGUUUUGUUUUUUGUUUUUUUGUUUCUCUAUUAAAGCAUUUCAAUUCUUCAGAACAGAGCAUGAAAAACGCUGCUUAUUUUUUCAGCUUUCUAGCUCAUAAGGAAUACAGAACUUGUACUUCUGUUUCGAAAUAGGAAUGGUUUUUCCUUGUUCUCAACUCCAAUUUCCAUCUGAGGCUAUGUUAUAGCCUAAGCUAUUCAUCUAGUGGAUAAACUCUGAUACAUUUUUAUUUUCCCCCUGAUAGACUAAGUAAACAUGAGGUCACUGUAAGGGUGCAGAAACUGUAACAUAAUAAUGGAGUGGUGAAUGGUUGGAGAAUAAAUUUCAGAAAAUAAAGCCAAGAGAGAAAGCAUUGGUGCUAGUAUGAACUUUCAUGUUCAAACAGUACUUCUUACCAAACACUAUUUCUAAACUAUUUCUAAUUCAGGGAUGCCUAGUUCACAGAACCCUAAAAGCAGACAGAAUGAAGGACUUCUGCAUGCUUUCCCUGCUCUUACUCUCUUCUGCUGCCUGCACUCUUCCUUUUGUCUCCUAGCCUCUCUGAGAGACAGGAUGCUGGACUGGAGAGCCUUUUUGGCUAACCUCAUACAGCUGCUCUGGUGCUCUUCUAUUUAUGCUGUGUUUUGGAGGAAGUGAUUUUCUCUUAUUCUUGAUCAUUGUCAACAAACAGCAAAACCCUCCAAUGCCAUUUUUGACAGAGUCGACCUAAAUACUUGCAUUCAAAGAUUAGUCACACACUGCUGAAGUGAAAGAAAGAAAAUGUAAACAGCCAGUGCCUUUGCCAGAAGUAUGCAAGUGUCUGUGUGGGAAAGGAUAUGAUAUAAGAGCCUGUGUAAUCAUACAUUCUUUUAUUAAAAUAAAACCUUUCACAACAAUUCCUAACAUGAUUUUUUUUUUUUUCAGGUAUUACUAUUCAUUAAACAAAGCUUGUCUGUGCAAUUAUCAAA